AAAGAAAAAGAAAAUCUGCUUACAGUUCUGUUUCAUAUGGAUGUUGAGAGAUGUAUCCAUAGAUCUCCUAAUGUUGCUCUCAAAGUGUACCAGCUAAAAUAUUGCCUAGGGCGGCAAAUUGGUCAGGGCCGGCCCUGCCCUGCCCCGCCCAUUUAUUUAGCUUCCGGUUUAGUAGACAACGAAAAAAGUAAACAAUUAAUUAUAUUUAGCCUUUAGGAACAGUGCUUUGUAAUAACUCUCAGUACCAGAUUAAUUACCUAACCAAAACACAUUUACUACCCAAUAGCAUAGUUCCAUCCCCUGAAGACAAGGAAUGUGUCAUAGUAGAAAUGUGCAGCCCAAUGAAAGAAGGAAGCAUAAAGCUUGUACAUUUCUAUAACCCGUGUAAAAAUCUUCACAUUGAAACUUUACAGACAAUAGCAGGGACGAGUCAUAGAAGGGAAGUAUGGUGUGGUGAUUUUAAUGCUCACAACAGCCUAUGCGGAAGCAGUCAAACAGACAGUAAUGGUGAUGUUAGAGGAAAGAUCAUUGUUUUGCCUUAAUGAUGGACAAAAAACAAGAAUAGACGUGAAUAGGGGGACACAAUCAUGUUUGGACCUCACACUUGUGACGGAUAGUUUAGUUAAAUCGUGUGAAUGGAAUGUAAACGUGACUAUACCAUAGGAAGUGAUCAUUACCCAGUAUUCUCUAUCAUCAACACAAAUAGGAAGUGAGUAUAUUUUCCAGGUGGUGCUUUGGUAAAGCAGACUGGGAGAAAUGUAGAAUUCGCUGUAAGGAGUCAGCACAAUUGUUAGCAUUAGAAGGAAGUAUAGAGGAGUGCUCAAAUCAAAUCACAAUGCACAUUAAAGAAGCAGCAAAUAUAAUUAUACCAAAAAGAACAACAGAGGGUAUAGGAAGAAAGUGGUGCCGUGGUGGAAUGAGGAAUGUAGCAGAGCUAUUAAAGAACAAAACAAGGUAUUCAGUAACUACAGACAUAGCAUUAACAUCACACUUGUGUAAAUGGAUGGAGAAGAUGACAUAGACAUGUCUUAGAACAAAGAGGGUUGCUGAGUAAUUUCCAGACUGGUUUUCGCAAAGGAAGAUCCACAAUGCUUUGGUUAGAGUGAUCAAUGAGGUGGGAAUACAGUGUGAAGACACUGAAAAUGAAAGAGGUUAUGUAUGGCAAUAGUAUAUUUUGACAUUGAUAAAGCUUAUGACUCUAUGUGGAGGGAUGGGUUACUCAUCAAAUUAAGUGACAGGUGACAGUAACAGUGACAGUAACAGGAUCUUGGCUCAGACAGGAAAUUCAGAGUUCAAGUAGGGGCAGAGGUUUCGAAAGACUUCAAUAUAGAAAAUGGUAUUCCCCAAGGGAGUUCAAUCAGCCUGAUAUUAUUUAACAUUAUGAUAAAUGACAUAUUGACUAAGUUGGACGGAUGCAUCAAAUCUGCGUUGUAUGCAGAUGACGGGGACAUAUGGAUAAGGGGAAGAAAUGUUCCAGAAGUGGUCAUACAACUGGGGUUUCAAACUGUCAGCAAGCACAUCUUGCUUCAUGACAUUUACAAAUAAACGCAAGAUGGAGACUGAGAAGCUUACAUCAUAUGGAAAGCCGAUGAAUGAGGUCAAUGCAUUUAAAUAUCUGGGGCUAUGGUUAGAUAGUAAAUGUACAUGGAAAAACCAUAUUAAACAUUUGGAAACAAAAUCCCAAAAAGUUUUGAACCUAUUAAGAGCAGUGGCUGGAUGAGACUGGGGGCAGACAAACAGGCACUAAUUGACAUCUAUAGAGCAAUUAUGAGGACAACUCUGGAUUACGGGUGUAUAAUAUAUAUGCAGCAGCAGCAAAAACGUCAUUACUAAAAAUGGAUAGAUUACAAUACAAAGCAUUACGGUUGUGUAUAGGUGCAAUCAACAAUUAAUCAAUCAUUAUCACAAUUACCUCAAAAUAUAGCCAACACAGAUAGAUAGAUUCAACUUAUUGUCAUUACACAGUACAGGUACCGUGUAACGAAACGGUUUCUCUGCAUUUGACCCAUCCUAGUGUUAGGAGCAGUGGGCUGCCAUUAUGUACGGCACCCGGGGAGCAGUGUAGGGAACGGUGCUUUGCUCAGGGACACCUCGGUAGCACUUGGUAUUUCCGGGACUUGAACUGGUGACCUUCCAGUUGCCAAGCCCCUAUGGACUUCGCCACCACCGCCCGAUGGUUCUAAGAACAAGGAAGAGUGUGUUGGAGUUGUUAUAUAUAUCCCAGACUUUAAAAUAUCAAUUUCAAAAAGAGCGUCAGAUCAAUUAUCAGUGAGCAACAGAAAUGCUGGCUGUAAUAAUAGGAUUACAGUGGGUUGAAGAGGUCAGACCAGAUAGGGUGGUGAUAUGCACAGAUUCAUUAUCCAUUUUAAAAAGUAUACAGUCAACAACAACUGUCAGAAAAUAAUUACUCAUAUAACUUAAUCUAGGAAAUCCUGAUAGCUAGACUCAGACUGGAUCACACAGCAUUGAAUGUUACUCUAUGUCGUAGGAACUGUGGAGUUAAAGAAAAUGUGGAACAUAUCAUAUUACACUGCAACAUGUACAAAACAGAGAGGGAAAAACUAAGAGACAGGGAGAGUGGAGCCUGAUGGGGAUACUGGGAACAGAAGGUGAGGGGGUAAGAGCUACCAGGAAGGCCAUUCUUAAGUAUUUGAGUGAAAAAGGAUUGAUUGGAAGAAUUGAAAACAACGUAAACACAGUGGUAUAAUUCCACAAGUGCUGACAGGAUGAUAUGUUGAUACACGCUCUUGUACAGUAGGGGGCGGUAUGCACCUUAAAGUUGUUUGCAAUCCGCCAAAAAACCGAGAGAAGAAGAAGAAGAACGAUUAUACAUCCAUGGAACGACCAGACACAUGGCAGCAACGUUCCCAUCUGCUUCAUUCAUUUCUCCUGUUCAACAGAUUUCACAGCUGCCUGGGCCUAGCAGCAAGAACCUCCAUCUGUCCCUGCCCCCAGGUCAAGAUCUACCGUGGCUCAAGGGCCUUCACCGCAAAGGACCAGAGGACCAUCAUCACUACAGUGGCCUCCAUCUCCAUCUGCCACAAGAUUAAGAUACACCUCGGGACAAAGGCCUCCACCACAGCCAUCACGAUCAACCCAGCCAGCAAAGAAGUCUCGCCUAGCACCGCCUCGGUGAGACUCCAGAAAGCAUGGAGCAAGAGACGAUUUCUCUUUUGGCAGAACAACAGAAAAGAAACAACCAGCAAUCAAUAAAAGAAAAGAUGGCGAAGGCGUUUGGAUACUGAAGACAAGAAAUAGUGCAUCGGAGGCCAAGCAUUGAAGGCCUCUUGGAGCGGUGGCACUUUUUCACAUGGAAGAGGUAAAUGCUGAGUUAAUGCGCAUAACAACAAUUCCAUUGGAGACAAAGUUCUUGGCGCAGUUGGACAAACACUCAGGUCAUCAGGAGCAGGGGAGGAGUUGUGAAACAGAAGACCACCGGGAUCUUGCAGGUUUUGGAUGACGUAUCUAUGAAUGAGUUUUUUAUCUGUGGGAUCAGUGGCUGACUCCUCCUUUAUUUGCAUUUAAUUUAUUAUAUAUAUAUAUCUCUGUUCUUACUCAGACUGUGGACAUCGCCAUCAGAAGAGAAUGCAUCCUCAAAUCUCUAAUGAUCUACUUGGGUGAACCUGUUGACCAUCUCAUCAAAGAAUUCCAGGACGCUGAGGCUGGAGAACUGGAGCAGGCAACAAUGGAAGCCUUUGACACUGGGAAAGAGGAUCAGCUUCAUCGACCCAAAGACGUCAAGGUUCUCAUCGAAGGAACAGAGGUCCUCAGCGGCUUGCCCUCGGUUGCGACAGCUUUUGCCAUGCUCUUCGGGCUCAUAUACGCACUGAAAUGGGGCGAAGCCUGCGAGCUAGUUCAGGCAGUCAACUCGAGCACUUAUGCUGCAUUCAUACAUAACGCCCCCUUGCCACUCUACAACCAACCAAACAGAGUCUCCUUAAUAUGCCGCUCUAUUUAACCUGCCAGAUCUCUCUCCAUGCAUUGCUUGCUGCUGCUAUUGCCGCAGCUACCUCUACGUCGCUGCUGCUCGCUGCCCCACCACCACCCCAGCUUCCACCUGUAGGCUCUGGGUUAGUUAUUUAAUCAUCACUCAUCGUGCUAUGUAUAUCUAUGGAGUGAUGAUGCCCGAGCCUAGUCGCCAAACUCAACUAUAUGCUGCUUCUAAUAAACAUGUUAAAGGAACACGUGAGUUGUCUGACUGAACUUAAGAUAUCAGAAAUAACUGCAAUCCACUUUUGAAGUUGUGCAAAAAGUCCUGAUGGAGGGGGAAAAGAUGAGCCCAAAAGUGAAUAGACUGAGAACCCAGCUGGUAGACACUUUGUUGCACUCACUCACAGUUACCAUUGUUACAUGGUAAGGUUUCUAAAACCAAGGUUUUAUAAUAAUUAUGCAUUGUAAAACAUUUGCGAAAAAGUGUUGUGUUCAGAAGUUGCACUUACAGUAUGACCGAUUUUCACUGUAGAAGUUAUGCAUGUCUAAUCAUUCUCAGAGAUUACAUGUCUCACAGGCGCACGUUGUCAGUGUUGCUUUAAAAAAGUGUGCAGUGGAUAAUAAGGACAUGUCUUUUUUCUAAGAGUUUGAUGUUUGGAAGCGGCCCACAUAUUACCGCAUUUUAACUGUGGUACUUAUUAACAUGUCUAAGAUCAGGUAAUGGCUGCCUCAGAGGCCAAAGCUGGUUGUGUGAACAACUUGUUUUUCAUUCAAAUAAAUGUGCUCUGGUGUUAAAAUAUACAGAUUGAUCUGAAGAAAUUGAGUCAUUGUAAAAUAUUUCGUGUGAUUGAUUACUCUAAUAUUUUUUUGUUGGUACAACGUUUUACUUUUAUUAGUGUACCUUUCAGUUGCAUUGCACUCCUUAAACGUGUUUGAGACACUUUAGAUAAAAAUGUGGCUGUCAUUUGAUUAACUCUGAAAAUACAGAGGUUUUUAUUGAAUAAAUCACCCAAAAAUCA
Gymnodraco acuticeps is the source of this 4949-nucleotide long non-coding RNA. RefSeq lists it as uncharacterized. The transcript has 4 exons. Lineage: Eukaryota; Metazoa; Chordata; Actinopteri; Perciformes; Bathydraconidae. The record is from RefSeq and is a predicted model, not a curated record.